Molecule: ribosomal RNA, 397 nt
Filed under: uncultured bacterium
Lineage: Bacteria
Description: partial 16S ribosomal RNA
Rfam family: Bacterial small subunit ribosomal RNA
Source: RNAcentral
AUACGUAGGGGGCGAGCGUUGUCCGGAAUGAUUGGGCGUAAAGGGCGCGUAGGCGGCCCGGUAAGUCUGGAGUGAAAGUCCUGUUUUUAAGAUGGGAAUUGCUUUGGAUACUGUCGGGCUUGAGUGCGGGAGAGGUAAGUGGAAUUCCCAGUGUAGCGGUGAGAUGCGUAGAGAUUGGGAGGAACACCAGUGGCGAAGGCGACUUACUGGACUGUAACUGACGCUGAGGCGCGAAAGUGUGGGGAGCAAACAGGAUUAGAUACCCUGGUAGUCCACACUGUAAACAAUGAAUGCUAGGUGUAAGAGGUAUCGACCCCUUUUGUGCCGGAGUCAACACAAUAAGCAUUCCGCCUGGGGAGUACGGCCGCAAGGUUGAAACUCAAAUGAAUUGGCGGGG